Molecule: ribosomal RNA, 499 nt
Filed under: uncultured bacterium
Lineage: Bacteria
Description: bacterial SSU rRNA
Rfam family: Bacterial small subunit ribosomal RNA
Source: RNAcentral
GACGAACGCUGGUGGCGUGGAUUAGGCAUGCAAGUCGAACGGUAUCAUCCUUUCGGGGGUGAGAGAGUGGCGAACUGGUGAGUAACACGUAGGUUAUCUACCCUCAAGACGGGGACAACCCAGGGAAACUUGGGCUAAUACCGGAUGAGAGUGCGAGAGAUUGCAUUUAAAAGGAUGGCGAAAGUUGUCGCUUAGGGAUGAGCCUGCGGUCUAUUAGUUAGUUGGUGAGGUAAGAGCUCACCAAGGCGAUGAUAGAUAGGCGGCCUUAACGGGUGGUCGCCCACACUGGGAUUGAGAUACGGCCCAGACUCCUACGGGAGGCAGCAGUCGAGAAUAGUCUACAAUGGCCGGAAGGCUGAUAGUGCGACGCCGCGUGAACGAGGGAGCCCUUCGGGGUGUAAAGUUCUUUUCUAUACGAGCAGUGCUAUAUAUAUGGAUAGUAUAUAUAGAGGGAUAGUAGUAUAGGAAUAAGCAACGGCUAACUCCGUGCCAGCAGCCG